AACGCGAAGAACCUUACCUGGGCUCGAACGGCUGGUGACAGGGGUGGAAACAUCCUUUUCCCGCAAGGGACACCAGUCGAGGUGCUGCAUGGCUGUCGUCAGCUCGUGCCGUGAGGUGUUGGGUUAAGUCCCGCAACGAGCGCAACCCUUGUCGUUAGUUGUCAUCAGGUCAAGCUGGACCCUUUAACGAGACUGCCGGGGACGACCCGGAGGAAGGUGAGGACGACGUCAAGUCAUCAUGCCCCUUAUGCCCUGGGCUACACACGUGCUACAAUGGUCGGUACAAACCGUCGCAAACCCGCGAGGGGGAGCUAAUCGGAAAAAGCCGGCCUCAGUUCGGAUUGGAGUCUGCAACUCGACUCCAUGAAGUUGGAAUCGCUAGUAAUCGCGGAUCAGCACGCCGCGGUGAAUACGUUCCCGGGCCUUGUACACACCGACGCGUA
Molecule: ribosomal RNA, 443 nt
Filed under: uncultured bacterium
Lineage: Bacteria
Description: bacterial SSU rRNA
Rfam family: Bacterial small subunit ribosomal RNA
Source: RNAcentral